AUUGAACGCUGGCGGCAUGCUUUACACAUGCAAGUCGAACGGUAACAGGCCUUCGGGUGCUGACGAGUGGCGAACGGGUGAGUAAUGCAUCGGAACGUGCCCAGAGGUGGGGGAUAACGCAGCGAAAGCUGUGCUAAUACCGCAUGUGAUCUGAGGAUGAAAGCGGGGGACCAAGCAGCAAUGUUUGGCCUCGCGCCUCUGGAGCGGCCGAUGUCAGAUUAGGUAGUUGGUGGGGUAAAGGCCUACCAAGCCGACGAUCUGUAGCUGGUCUGAGAGGACGACCAGCCACACUGGGACUGAGACACGGCCCAGACUCCUACGGGAGGCAGCAGUGGGGAAUUUUGGACAAUGGGCGCAAGCCUGAUCCAGCAAUGCCGCGUGCGGGAAGAAGGCCUUCGGGUUGUAAACCGCUUUUGUACGGAACGAAAAGGCUCUGGCUAAUACCUGGGGCUGAUGACGGUACCGUAACAAUAAGCACCGGCUAACUACGUG
Molecule: ribosomal RNA, 492 nt
Filed under: uncultured bacterium
Lineage: Bacteria
Description: partial 16S ribosomal RNA
Rfam family: Bacterial small subunit ribosomal RNA
Source: RNAcentral